This 254-nucleotide ribosomal RNA is filed under the name uncultured bacterium. RNAcentral's name for it is "partial 16S ribosomal RNA". It matches the Rfam family "Bacterial small subunit ribosomal RNA", at positions 524 to 776 of the family's 1533-position model. The record is from RNAcentral.
CACGUAGGGGGCGAGCGUUGUCCGGAUUUAUUGGGCGUAAAGAGCUCGUAGGUGGCUUAGUAAGUCGGGUGUGAAACCUCCAGGCUCAACCUGGAGACGCCACCCGAUACUGCUAUAGCUUGAGUCCGGUAGGGGAGCGUGGAAUUCCUGGUGUAGCGGUGAAAUGCGUAGAUAUUGGGAGGAACACCGGUGGCGAAGGCGGCCCCCUGGACCGGUACUGACGCUGAGGCGCGAAAGCGUGGGUAGCAAACGGG